UAAUUUGUCCAUUUCUGAUUUGCUCUCAUGGUCAGGUGACUGAUGUGUUAAAUGUUGUCCUGGAGUGCCCCCUGUCCUGUUCCCAACACAUCUGAUUUUUCCAGCCUUUCUGAGUUAAAGUGUGUGUGUGAAUUUGGUAUGUGUCAGAAAUACAUGGGUGCUGCAGUAUACAGGAAAGAAUACACCAUUGAUCAGCUUUAUUGUUUAUGACCUAAAGAAAUAACAAGGUCUAAUAUAUUAAAAUGACUAUAGGCAACAUUAACUUUAUUCAACAUGUCUUUGUCUCUGGUCAUUUUUUUUAAUUGUUUACUCCAGAUUUGUACUCUUCUUUCUUUUGCAAACACAUUAUGAGUCAUUCACAAUGGUUUAUGAAUAAAAAGCCUGUCCUGCAUCAGAUGCUGAUCCGCUUAUUAUCUGUAGUGCUGUGGCAAUGAAUGACGAGACUCUUUGUAGGAAGCUCUGUUUGCUGUAAGACCAUUUCCUCAAUUAAUACAAACUCAAUGGCGUUCUUUGUAGAGCUGGAACCUCAAAUAAAAAAAUACAGAUAGAGUAUGUGCGCUACACAGACUGAGCAGAGUGUCUUCACACUUGUGCUCCAGUAUGAACUCGCAGCUCAGUGGUGCUGCUCACUGCACUGCAUGUAAUGGGGGAAAAGGCAGCAAGGGGCCAGGUGUUGCUAGAUUUGGCUUCUCAAUGUCGUUGGUGAUGUGAAAGGACAAAGGCAGUAUUGAGGGCCCAGGCAGUGGGUUGGGAGCAGUCGGAUAGUUUUACAGAAAAGCUAGUGUUUGUGCCAAGCCUGCACUCAUACACAACAGACACUGUGUUCUGCUGCUCCGCUCCCAGCUUUGUCUCAAUGCACCAACCCCCCCGUCACACACACUUUUUUUUUGUUUCAGCACAGGUAGCAAUAGCGCUUGCAUCUAGGGUGCAGAUGAGAAAGUUAGAUAGCUGGCUGUUGAGAACAUGGUUUGGCAUUCUAGACUACCUCUUAACAAUCCACACAAAGACACGGAGCCAGUGAGAAACAUGAUAAAGCAAUGCACCAUCUCACUCAUGGAUAGACCAACCAUCAACGCCCCUCCUUCCCAUCCUCCCUUUCUUCCUCCCUCCCUCCCUCCAGAUCUUGGGAAUUCUCGCUUCAGCAGAUAUCAUUUGUCUGUGUACACUUACCUGCUGUGAAUGCAUAUCAGAGCUCUUGCAUCUACCUAAAAAAGCCAGGCUUGCCUUUGUGAAAGGUUGUUUUUAAUCGUGUUUUCCAAUAUUCACGUAAAAUCAGUGAACAAUUUUCAAAUUUGGGAAUGUCAAUGUUUUUGCUUGAUCAAAGCGCUUUUGAGAAGUGAAUUCGAGAAUAUUUCGUCCCCGUGUCCUAGUGAGCCAGCUUGAUGCGUAAAUCUGUACCAUCCACAGAGGAAACAAAUGAAACCACACCAAGGAACACAAUCACACUCAGCCCUGUACACUUCGACCCGACCUCUGUGUGAAUUUGUUGUGCAUAUAUGUGUGUGUGUGUGUGUGUGUGUGUGUGUGUGUGUGUGGUUAUGUGUGGCUGGUUUUAAUCUCACAGGGGUGUGAUCUGCCUGCUGCAUGAAAACGGAGUAAGAUGACACUGAUGUGAUAAUGAGGCCCAGCCCAGUGGCCUAGACAAACAGCUCGUCUUUGCCCAACUGACACACCAUCAGGAAGCAGGCAGAGGUGCUGCAGCUCUCAUGGAGCACAGCACUGCAAGCCAUGCAUUCUGUCGAUGUCUCAUUAGUGGCUCUGGGUCUCAGUGGUGCUCUCGGCCACCUCCCCCCCUCACACACUACCCUUCCAGCAGGUUUUACCUUCAUCCAGUUCCCUACAUGGGCUUCGUAUUAAAGCGCUGCAAACAGUGUUCCCGAAAUGUCAAGUCAGCAGCACAACAAGCUGGUCUUCACAUAUGAUUGUGUGAGGAUUUUAUUUAUUAGUAUGUCCAUUCUUUCUGCUUCUCACCCUCAUGCUGGCUUGGCUGGGAUCGCUCACAUCUAAGAUGGCAGUAAUGCCUAAAUUUCACACUGCAACAUUAACGAGAGCUGACACAGGGGAUUAGUAGCAGACAGCUGGAAUGCCCGGCCCUUUUGUGCUGCAUGAAUCUCAGCCAAAACCCUUCUCACCAAGGCCAAGAGAGACCUGGGGAAAAAAAAGACUUCUCCUUGGAAAUAAACACAAGACUGGCCAAAAGGAAGGAAUGUGCCACCAAUGGACAAAACCAGUGCAGUGAUCAGACAGAAUACACUGUCCAGGAAGUGCAACCUGUAGAUCGCCAUUUUGUUUUCCUCUUCUAAUUCAGUAAAUGUUACCUGUAGUAAAUUGACCAAAUAAUGUUGAAAAUGAAUCUGUGUAACCUGUAAAAGGCCUUGCAGAAGGUUACCUUUACCUUGUACAUACACUUACAUGCAUGCAUACACUUUAAGGCCACUUUAAACAAGUGCACAGAUGUUCCUAUUAUUCAAUGCAACAUUCAGAAGAUAAAAAGUCAUGUUGGCUAAAAGUAUUUUAGUUAAAAAAAACUAGGCAAUGUUGGUUACAUUUUCUACCAUCCAGUGUCGCCUGGUUAGCAGGAGUGGAAAUGUAUAUGCUGUCAGCCUCAGAUUUAUGCUUUUUGAGCUGCUUUUCAGCUCACAAUGGUCGUAAAGAGUGGCUGCUUGAGUUUUCCAGCUAAACUAGCCAUAUUUUUCUGAUCUUUCUUACCAACAGCAUCUUUUGUAUUACUGCUCAAUAAAUCUUUAGUUUAA
Silurus meridionalis is the source of this 2753-nucleotide long non-coding RNA. RefSeq lists it as uncharacterized. The record is from RefSeq and is a predicted model, not a curated record. NCBI's taxonomy places the organism in Eukaryota, Metazoa, Chordata, Actinopteri, Siluriformes, Siluridae. The transcript has 3 exons.